This is a long non-coding RNA of Cyprinus carpio carpio, 1617 nucleotides long. The record is from Ensembl. NCBI's taxonomy places the organism in Eukaryota, Metazoa, Chordata, Actinopteri, Cypriniformes, Cyprinidae.
GUCAGUCUGAGGUGACAAUGGCACAUACAAAGUUUGGUACAAAUAUGUCAAAGCUUUGCCGAGAUACAGCCUCAGAUGUAUUUUGGCAUCUUACGAACAAAUUCGUUGAUGCGCUAAAUGAAAACCGUUUCGUAUAUCAACACGAAUUCCAUAACAUUUUAUCAGGUUGGUCUGAAGAUGAUUCGAGUCAAAUUUGGUGAAAAUCGGACUAACGGUCUAGGAGGAGUUCGAAAAAGUAGGUUUUCAACAUGAAUCAAAAUGGCGGACAGGAAGUAUGGCCAAUUUUGGCAUAAUUGGUAUUGAUGUUCUCGGCAGGACCCAAAGAAUAUAGGGAGACCAUUUUCAUUUUAAUAGUCUAAUUCUUUCAAAAGUUAUAAGCAUUUUUAAGAUAUUUCAUUAUAACUUUUGACCACAAGGUGGCGCUGCCACCAAACUUUUUGAGUAGCUUCAGGGCAUGGAGCCAAACAUUUUUGUAAUUAUUUUCGUAGCGAUACGAUAAUGCGUUCAAAAAAUACAGCAUUUUGAAACAUAAUUCAAAAUGGCCGAGACCUAAAAUGGCCGACACGGGAAAAUUGGAUAUCAUUCGACUUGACAUGACCCACCGAAUCUAAUGAGACCAGUUUUGUGAUUUUUGGCCAAACCAUUCAGAAGUUAUAAGCAAAAAUAUGCAUUUUUCAUAUCUCCUGACCACUAGGUGGCGCUGCGUCGAAACACUGCAGGAAGUCUCAGGUCAUGCUUGUUAUAACACACACCAAGUUUGGUCUCAAUACGCCAAACCGUUGCGGAGUUAUAGCCUCACAAGCAUUUUUGCGUGCUUUUCGUAGAAUUUGUUCGCGUGGUAUUCGAGAACGGUAGGACAAAGCAACUUGAAUUCCAUAACUUUUUGCCGGCAUCAUCUGAAUAUGAUCUGAGCCAAUUUUCGUGAAAAUCGGACUAACCGUCUAGGACGAGUUCGUAAAAGUAGGUUUUUCAAACAAUUGAAAAUAUCAAAAAAACUAAACCUUGCGAUUUUUGAAUUUCGGGGUUCAUUCGACUUGGCCUGAGCCAAGGAUUCAGAGGAAAAAAGAAUUUUCAUUUUGUGGCUUACGGUUCAAAAGUUAUUAGCAUAAAAAUAUUGAAAUUUUGGACAAGUGGUGGCGCUAGAGAGUUGGAGUUAGAGACUUCAAAUUUGCUAUAGUUAAUGCUGGGACUGUCCUCUAUCAGUGUGCCAAAUUAUACAACUUUCCCGCAAUCGGUUCUAUGGGCUGCCAUAGACUUGCGGCGGAAGAAGAAGAAGAAGAAGAAGAAGAAGAAGAAGAAGAAGAAGAAGAAGAAGAAGAAGAAGAAAUAUAGCUGCAAGCAGCAAUUACGGGGCCAAGCACUCCAGAGGCAAAUUGAGGAGCUAAGCAUGGCAUGGAGCAUCACACCAAAUGUAACAAUGAGCAAUUACAGCAAUUUUAGGAUGAUUGUAAUUGAAAUUGCGGAAAAAUCAUAAAUACAAGCACUAGUAUUAUGAUUAAAUGACUUAUAACUUUUGACCAACAGGUGGCGCUGUAAUUAAAUCAUUUUGGUGUGUUCUGUGUGAGGUGACAAUGGCACACACAAAGGUUGGUGUCAGUAUGCCAAAGCAUUGCAGAG